UACGUAGGCAGCGAGCGUUGUUCGGAGUUACUGGGCGUAAAGCGUGCGCAGGCGGUUCGUUGUGUCGGUGGUGAAAGCCCCGGGCUUAACCUGGGAAUGGCCAUGGAAACUGGCGAACUGGAGUGUGGCAGAGGGGGGUGGAAUUCCGCGUGUAGCAGUGAAAUGCGUAGAGAUGCGGAGGAACACCGAUGGCGAAGGCAGCCCCCUGGGCUAGCACUGACGCUCAGGCACGAAAGCGUGGGGAGCAAACAGG
This 253-nucleotide ribosomal RNA is filed under the name uncultured bacterium. Its description in RNAcentral is "partial 16S ribosomal RNA". It matches the Rfam family "Bacterial small subunit ribosomal RNA", at positions 524 to 776 of the family's 1533-position model. The record is from RNAcentral.